RNAcentral lists this ribosomal RNA (567 nucleotides) under uncultured fungus. Its description in RNAcentral is "eukaryotic LSU rRNA". The stretch from base 212 to 365 matches the Rfam family "5.8S ribosomal RNA". The record is from RNAcentral. Lineage: Eukaryota; Fungi.
AAGUCGUAACAAGGUCUCCGUAGGUGAACCUGCGGAGGGAUCAUUACCGAGUGGAGGGCGCUCGCCGCCCGACCUCCCAACCCUUUGAUUUGAUCAAGACCUCCUUCUGCCUCGGGGGUGACCCGGCCUCCGCGCCGCGGUCCCCCCGGCCGGCACCUCUCUCAACCCUGCAUCAAUUGUCGUCGGAUGUUUACUUGAUAAAUUCAAUCAAAACUUUCAACAACGGAUCUCUUGGUUCUGGCAUCGAUGAAGAACGCAGCGAAAUGCGAUAAGUAAUGUGAAUUGCAGAAUUCAGUGAAUCAUCGAAUCUUUGAACGCACAUUGCGCCCUUUGGCAUUCCGAAGGGCAUGCCUGUUCGAGCGUCAUUACACCAAUCAAGCCUGGCUUGGUAUUGGGCGACGGGGGCCGUCACACGCCCCCGCGCCCCAAAGACCCGACCGGCGGGACGGACCAAAUCUCAGCGUUGUGCAAACAGAGUCGCUGGCGAGAUGGGACGGCCGUGCCGUUAAAGCACCCCUUUUCUGUAAUGUUGACCUCGGAUCAGGUAGGGAUACCCGCUGAACUUAA